This 5291-nucleotide long non-coding RNA is filed under the name Octopus sinensis (East Asian common octopus). Its description in RNAcentral is "uncharacterized LOC118762623". The record is from RNAcentral. Lineage: Eukaryota; Metazoa; Mollusca; Cephalopoda; Octopoda; Octopodidae.
UUAUUAUUAUUAUUAUUAUUAUUAUUAUUAUUAUUAUUAUAUGUAAGAAGUUAAUAUUAUUGUCAUCAUCAUCUGUGGGACCUAACUGCUUUGGAUUUAUCCUUUUGUGGUGCAACAUAAAAGCAUUAUUAAUGUUAUCAUCAUUAUUAUUUGCACCCCUGCAGCCUAUUAAUAAAGGGUGCAUCCAUUUGUUUUGUGAUGUAACAAAAGAAUUAUACAUGAGAUUUUUUUGUAUUUUUUAAACUUUUUUUUUAUGAAGAAUAUUUGCAUUCUUCCCCCUUUACAUGAGCAUAUGUUGUACUUCUUCCCUCUCAACUUUUUGGCCACUUCUCUUUACCUAAAGUCUCUUGAUUUUUCACUCAGUCAGCUUUUCAGAACUGGUUAUGGUAUCUGAAACUUGUAGUAAAGGAAGUUGAUUCUCUCCUUGUUUGCCAUUGUGGGUUUAAUUUUGGCAACUUUUGAUGUGAAGUUGAAACACUGCUAUAGAAGUGGGGGAAUAAGAUAAAGAAGAAAAAAAAGAAAGAAAAAAAGGAGAAAUGUAACUUAAACCAUCAUUACUAAAUUCAUACUAACAUUAUCUCUAACCAAAAGUUGGUUCCAGCAUGAAGCCUACUUUUGGUUUGUUUCCUCCAGAUUAAGGUUAUAAGGAAAAACACUGCUCUAUUUUUUGUAUGUAUUUUUCUGUAUAUUUUCAACAUCAAUAAUUUAUCAAUGUAGACAAAUCACUAAUGCAACAUGUCUCAUAAAAUCAGGAUCUGCAUCUAAUUACAAUGAAUUACAAACUUUUUUUACAAACUAUGAUAACUGGUGUUUUCUAAGUACUUCAUCUGUUGCAUCAUUGAGCACCAACAGGUGAACAUGCACAUCAAAGUGAUACACUAGUAUAAAGAGAAAAUAACAAAAAGAAUCCAGAAAGAAAAAAAAAAGAGAACUUGUUUGUUUAUUUUUUAAUUGCCUUUCUUCUGCUUAAAAAUGUGAUAGGUUGACUGCCUCACUUUUUCUUUUUAUAUUUUAAAAAGUGUUUUAAUUAAAACAUUUUUUUUAAAAGUUCCAUAACCAGUUUUUAGAAGUAUGUGCUGGGAAGAGGAGCAAGAGAUGUUUGAAGCUCUAUUUGCUCCACUCUCUUAAUACCUAGUUCCCAUACUGGGCUCUACUGUUGCUCUCCUUCAAUACCAAGAUUCUGAAAGAAAAUUAAUAUUCUUCCAUAACCCACAUUUUAAUGCCCCUUCCCAAUGUUGUUCAUCUUGUUGUUGUUGUAAACUGAGCUUUCUUUGUGAUCCCUAAUGCUGAUGGCUCAUAAUGCAUUCAACUACACAAUCCUUUAAGUGGUAAAGCGUUCCCGAAUGUUUCUUUUUUUAUUUUCUGCUUAAACAUGAACAUAAAAAAAAACAUAGACAAAAAUAAGCUAUAGAUUAGUUGUUGUUUUUUUUUACUUUCAGUAUCCGCAUUAUAUCAAAUUGAACAUUAUAAUAGAUUAAUUUCUUAUCUAUAUUUAACUGCUGUUAAUAUUUUAUCUACUACAUUAAAAAAAAAUUUUUUAUCUUUUUUAAUGAACUCACUGAUGUGUAACAUCUUAUGAAAUGACACUAUUAUUUAAUACACUGCUAUUGAAUGUCAGAAGUUGAUUAUAUUUGUUUGUGAGAAUCAACUAAUAGAGACCAAGCACAUACAUUGUAUUAAAGAAUUUUGGCAUUGUUACAUUGGUUAAUAUAAGUUUUAUAUUUGGUUCAAGUUUUUGUUUUUAUAUAAUAUUACACUUCAUGUUUGGAUAACAAAAUUUAUAAGCUAAGAUAAGUUUAUGUGCCAUAUGAGUUCUGACAUUCUGAGCAGAGUUAUUGUCAGUGUAGAAUCAUGACUAAUCUCCUUGGUUCCUAGUCAAAAAAAUUUUUUUGUUUAAUUAGAUGGUUGACACCUCAUUUACAAUGUUUUAUUCCAAUUGAGAAAUCUUGUUUCUGCUCCACCAGGUUUAACUCUACUUAAUUAACAGACAUUAUUCAAGGAAUGUGGCAUAUGCAAAUCUACAAACUUAGGUUUCAGUAAUGCAACAGUUUAUAAUAAUAAUAAUAAUAAUAAUAAUAAUAAUUGGAUAUCAGCAUGUAAGAAUUUCAUUUGCCUCAUAGUUUCAUAGUGGUCAUUCAACUUCAUUAUUUGGAAGUAUUGUAUCAUAUCGGUGUAAUGAUAUUCAGCAUAGCCACAACUCAUUGGCUGGAACCAGUAAAGGAAUAGUAUAAGUUAGGAAGUAGAGAGGGUUUUCUUCAUAUGUACUACUAAUAUCCUUUUAGAAAGAGGCUUGGACAUUGCAAUGUCUCACUUCUUUCAACUGUAGAAUUGUGAUCUUGUGCCUAAGAAAUCAGUUUUGAAGGAUUUUAUGUUGGCCAAAUAAGUCACUCAUUAACUUUUGUACUGGCAAACCUUUUUAACUUCCCAAUCAGAAAAAUAAGAUUUUCAAUUCUUUUUAAAACACGAUCUAGAAUUUUCCUUUUCACCACGAGGUAUAUAUAUAUAUAUAUAUACAUACAUAUGUUACAGAAGUAAUUUAGUUCUGAUGUCAAAUGUUGUAGUGUUAACUCAUUAAGUAUGUUCUCUAAUCAUAGAAACUGUUUAUACACUGCCUCCAUUCUAUUUUCAUAGAUUCCCUUUAACAUUUGAAGGACUGUGAAGAUUGUUAUUAUGUAAUCAUUGUCAUACACUCAUUAUCAUUGUAUAUAACAUCAGUAUCUUUGUUACUGAUUAUUCUUGUAGGCAGACUGAAAGACUAAUUGUUGGGAAGCUUCAAAGCUUUUAUCAGUUAUGUAUUUUUUUUUUGGUGUGUGUGUCUGAAAGAGAGAGAGAGAUAGAGAGAGAGAGAAAUUAAAUUUAUACAUUUCAAUACAAAACAUUUUGUCAAGUUUGAAAGGUGACACAUAUGUAAAGAACUUUUCCUUUUCUAAAAAAUUAAUCUGUUGCCAGUGCAGACUUUUUGUUGAAUGUGUGCAAUGUUUAAGGCUGAAAACUGUUUAUAGAUGAGGAUAUAUUUGUUGUCAAAUUGCUACUGCUUCAACCACCACCACCGCUACCACCACCACUACUACUACUACUACUACUACUACAAAAUUAUAAAAAUUUUCCUUUUACACUUGCUACAAGGAAGAUAGCUUUUGUGUUGAUAGCCCAUUACUCUUUACACUCAGUAUAGCAUAAAGUAAUUUACACCUGAGUGUUGCAGUGAUUGUGUGGAGAAACCAUUGGACUUUUCGCUCUUAUCCCUCAUAUUUUGCUGCAAGAGUUAUCAUUAUCGUCUGCUGACAAGACACCUAACUAAUAGGUACAUAAAGCUUUUAGGGUUUUUUUCUCUUAUUGCUAUACUAUUAAGGUAAUACUAUUAUUGGUAAUAGUGAUCAAUUGCUGCACUAAAUACUUAUUACUCUUGCCUAACCUGGUUCUACAAUCAAACACUGCUGGAAUUCGCUUCACUUUUUAAUUCUCUGUGAUCUGUUUAUUAAAUAAGUAGUGGUGGUUAUAAUUUGCUUAAGCAGUUUACUUCAUGGUAUUCCUUCAUAAAAUUUUGUGACUUUAUUAUUAUUUUUUUUUUUGGUGGGAGUGGUCGUGGGGCAACCGAAAACAUAACGUUAUUAGUUUGUUACUUUUCAUUUGCUUUGGAUUCAAUUUAGAUAAAGGAAUUAGAUGUUAAAUUAGUUUUGUGUUUUCUUAAACACUGUAGGAUAAACUGCAAAGCAUGUGCACACACACUCACUCACGUAUAUAUAUAACUUAUUGUUCCGUUAAGCCUAAGGUCAACAAAAAAGUACUCCAUGCAGUGAAGAUUAGUAUCAUUUUAUGUACACUGUAUAAAGAUACCAGCUACUGAAAGUUUCUUGCUUCAGAGAUGCAGGUGUAGGCAGGUUUUUAUAACACGCCUUGUGUCUUCAAGCAAUCUCUAACUCUGAGCACGUGUUCUGUUCAAUUUGUAUAUCAGGAUGCUGAUACAAGAGAAAUCACGAGCAAAAAAAAAAACAGCAGAAGCUACAUGUAAAGAGUGAAAGUGAGAAUAAACACGGAAAAAGAAAAGAAAAAUAGAAAAUUAGAGUUAUUUCCCCUUCGACUGUAAAGCCAUAAUUAAGCUUGUAGAAUAAAUAGUACAACGAGGGGGUCCAGGGUAGAAUAAUUCAAUACAACUGUCUUGCAGACUUUAGACACACGCACACACACACGUGUGUAUAUAUAUAUAUAUAUAUAUAUAUACUGCUACUCAACAUGUGUAUAUUCUAGGUCAGUUGAAAUUUAGGUCUUCAAAUUGCAAUGUUGAUAAAUUCUUUUAACAACAGUCUACACAUUAAAAUGGCAACUUCAGGUCUGGCUAUGUUAUAUUAAUCUUUAUCAUCUUAUAUAUAUAUAUAUAUAUAUUGUGUGUGUAUGUGUGUGUGUUUCCAUUGCUCUCUCUCUCUCUUUCUCUCUCCCUUGCGUGCUGAAAGUUGCUUUUUGAUGGUUGGCAUUUUUUUUCGUUUUUGUUAACCAACUGUAUAACUGGAACUGAUUGUGAGGAUGUUUGUACUAGAGUGGUUGUGACCGUCUACAUCAUGUUAAUGAUAUGCAUUAAGCUUUAUAGCGCCAAUGUGAAUAUGAAGAAAACAUUAAGAAAAUGUAAAAAAGCUAAAAUAUAAAAAAGAAUAAAAACUUCAAACUAUGAAAAGAUUGGACAAAAAAAAAAAGAAAGAAAAGAAAAAGAAAAGAAAGAAAAUAUCAAAAGAUGUGUAUGUUUGCCUAGAUGUGCAAUCUGUCAUAUCUGUAAGAGUUCAUCACUUGAAAGCUGGGUAUUUGAAGCUGUGCAGUACAUUUCUUUGAGAAGUUUUGUAUUGUUGACAGAAGCAAGUUACCAGCCACUAAACACAAAUUGAUACUGUGAAAAAACAGUAGUUUUGGUGGUGCCACUAAAGAGAAAGACUGAUAAAGUUUCCUACAAAAAAAAGCUGGAUGCAGGAGGUUGUAAUCUCUUGCUAAACAUCAAUUCUUUACCAUUGUCCAGUGGCCCUUUUCCCAUCUCCACCCUCACUACUGAUCCCCCUCCCCCAUGCCCCCUCCACCUCUCUUGCUUUACUCUCUUCACAAAUGUGUUCAUAGCAGAUUGUAAGCUGGGCUGCAUAUUUUCUUCGUCCACUUGUUCUCUAGAUCUAAAUUUUAAUAAUCCAUACCAAUUCUGAAUAACCAUCACAUUAGUGAGCAGGCGAAGCUACUUUACCUGCCUGUAUGAUGUAUUAUAUCACUCAAAUCUUCUAGGAAAUACUGAAUAAAUGAUUUUAGCAAUUUGUACCAAA